GAUAGUAACGUACAUGAUAUUACGAGUUGCUCGGUCGUACUCUGCGGCGUUUGCCUGUCCAGCGAGCGAACAUAAAAUCAAAGAUGUUAACAUCAUGAGAGAAGAAAUAGCAGUCACUCUCCUCCAACACUGGGGUGAUGGUCGGAUUCACGUUUAUCGUCGAAGGAAUGAGCAUUGCAACAAGGCCUGUACUCUGGAGCGGGAUCGAUUUGUAGGCUGGCAGGUGUGUUUAGGGACAUAUUCAACCAAUCCCUAUCCAGUGUGUUGUCCCCACAUGCUUCAAGGUGACCACCGUUGUUCCUGUUCCCAAGAAAGCAAAGGUCCACUGAUGAUGCAAUCGCCAUCACACUGCACACUGCCCUAUUCCACCUGGAGAAGAGGAAUACCUAUGUAAGAAUUCUG
Oncorhynchus masou masou (cherry salmon) is the source of this 402-nucleotide long non-coding RNA. RefSeq lists it as uncharacterized. The record is from RefSeq and is a predicted model, not a curated record. Lineage: Eukaryota; Metazoa; Chordata; Actinopteri; Salmoniformes; Salmonidae. The transcript has 4 exons.